UCCCCAGUGGCUCAGAUGGUAAAGUGUCUGCCUACAAUGUGGGCAACCCAGGUUCGAUCCCUGGGUUGGGAA
This 72-nucleotide transfer RNA is filed under the name Ovis aries (sheep). It matches the Rfam family "tRNA". From Rfam's summary of the family: Transfer RNA (tRNA) molecules are approximately 80 nucleotides in length. Lineage: Eukaryota; Metazoa; Chordata; Mammalia; Artiodactyla; Bovidae. The record is from Rfam by way of RNAcentral.